Molecule: small nucleolar RNA, 83 nt
Filed under: Salix viminalis (osier)
Lineage: Eukaryota; Viridiplantae; Streptophyta; Magnoliopsida; Malpighiales; Salicaceae
Also listed under: 1 other name
Rfam family: Small nucleolar RNA R38
About the family: snoR38 is a C/D box small nucleolar RNA conserved across yeast, human, Arabidopsis and rice. It is encoded in the intron of elongation factor-1 gamma in both pombe and cerevisiae. snoR38 guides the methylation of 2'-O-ribose sites in 28S rRNA.
Source: RNAcentral
UUUUGUGCUUGAUGAGAAACAUAAAAAUUCAGUUAUCCCUGUCUGAUUCAUCUGUGCUGAUUAUUGUUGAUUCUGACACAAAC